This 482-nucleotide ribosomal RNA is filed under the name uncultured bacterium. RNAcentral's name for it is "bacterial SSU rRNA". It matches the Rfam family "Bacterial small subunit ribosomal RNA", at positions 46 to 524 of the family's 1533-position model. The record is from RNAcentral.
GCCUAACACAUGCAAGUCGAACGGUAAGUAAGGUAGCAAUACUUUACCAAGAGUGACGCACGGGUGCGUAACACGUAUGCAACCUACCCUUUACAGAAGGAUAGCUCGGGGAAACUCGAAUUAACCCGUCAUAAUAUAAUUGGAUGGCAUCAUUUGAUUAUUAAAACUGAGGUGGUAAAGGAUGGGCAUGCGUCUGAUUAGCUAGUUGGUAGUGUAAUGGACUACCAAGGCGAUGAUCAGUAGGGGAACUGAGAGGUUGAUCCCCCACACUGGCACUGAGAUACGGGCCAGACUCCUACGGGAGGCAGCAGUAGGGAAUAUUGGUCAAUGGGUGAGAGCCUGAACCAGCCAUGCCGCGUGCAGGAAGAAGGCCUUCUGGGUUGUAAACUGCUUUUGUCAGGGGAUAAAAUUUCCUUGCGAGGAAAAUUGAAGGUACCUGGCGAAUAAGCCACGGCUAACUACGUGCCAGCAGCCGCGGUAAU